CUCAAACACAAACCAAACAUACCCUAUGUAUCUGAUUAUUAUUUAUGUUAUUAUAAGCCGCUAAAAACUUAGAAGAUUAAUUUGACAGAAAAAGAACUGUUUUCUUCCUUGCUUUGGUUCCCUCUUUAUGGUUAAUGGCUCAAUGCAAGAGUUGGUUUUUGGCAGCGUUUGAUACUCUGCAUUUAACUGUUAAAAAGUUUACCCUGGUGAAAUUCCCUUGACUUUGGGAAAAGUUUUCUUAUUUCUCAUUAUGCAGCUGGACAGGAAAGAUUCAGAACACUAACUAGUUCAUAUUAUAGAGGAGCUCAAGGAAUAAUAAUGGUUUAUGAUGUAACCCGACGAGAUACAUUUACGGAUCUAUCUGAUGUGUGGGCUAAAGAAAUUGAUCUGUAUUCAACAAAUCAAGAUUGCAUCAAGAUGCUUGUUGGCAACAAGGUUGAUAAGGAAAAUGAAAGGGUUGUCACC
This is a non-coding RNA of Camellia sinensis, 465 nucleotides long. NCBI's taxonomy places the organism in Eukaryota, Viridiplantae, Streptophyta, Magnoliopsida, Ericales, Theaceae. The record is from RefSeq and is a predicted model, not a curated record.